UUCCGAGUUGCUCAAUAGUUCUUUCCCUUUGUGGAACUCUUACGCACAGUGAGACGCAAAACACACUAUCGUCCACACGCGGUGGGUACAAAUGCUUAUUUAUACAGAGAAAAAGACAAACAAAACCAGUUUAAACUUUAUUUGACGAGUAUUGGCCGUGGCAUAAAGCAAGAAUUUGUGGGAUGCCAUUCAAUAAGAACUCAUAUGGGCAAACUCACACAAAAGCAACAUCAACACAAAAUGCAACAUCAAUCAACAAGUUCAGAAAAGACCACCCCGGGUCAACCGCGGAUGGUUACUUAAUUAAUUAGAGUAUGUUAAAUUAACCCAAUAUUUAGCUCAAUUAUGCAAUGCAUUAUGAUAAAAGCACUCAUUUUUUCAACAGCAAGUUUCACCAAAUCAGUCACAAAUCACAGAACAGGUUCAAAUUCACUGGCAACACAAUAGAUAUGGAUCAAUUGGGAGUUGGUUUAGAGUUCUGGAAUCAGUUGGGAGUUGUGACAAUAGCAAUCAUUUGACAACAGUAACAGUUUCACAAAUUCAGUCACAGUUCAAUUGCACAGAACAGUUUCAUAUUCACUGGCAAUACACCAAUACAUAUAGAAACAGUUGACUUGGUGUGCGCAAACGCCUCCAUCACAAAAGAUAUGCCACGACAACAUAACGGGAAACAGCUACCAUCUCGUAUACUAAUUCAAGGAACGAGUAUCUGAAAAAAAAACAAAAAAAACAGCACCCAGUAUCCAGACCUUAAAAAAUGUCCCUAUAGCAUAUGGGAUGGGUGGGUGGAAUUUUCAACAGAUGCCAUAAUACAAUGGCUAUCACAAAAAAUACUUCUCAAAUUAUUUCUUCGACUGCUCUGGUUGAAGUCAGCAUCAGAAAGGAGGCCGAUCCCGAUGUGAUGCACAUUUGUACUUAUUUAUUGGGGCCCCAAUAUCCCGCACCCGAAUUAAAUACGAGUAUUUCUCGUAAAAUAAAUGCAUCUAUUUUGUAUGAAAAAUAGAUGCUCUUAUUGCUGCCUUCAUAUAUAUCUUAUAUAUGAUUAUCAGACUUUAUGCACCCACUCAAUCUGCAAGGACACACAAUAUUAGUAAGUUUAUUAGUAUUUAAUAAUAAAUUACCUCAAACAAAAUUCGAUAAUCACCAUUUUUCUUUGAUUAAAAUAUCACUCAUGCAGACGAGGAAAUAAAAAAAUAAUUUCAUAUUUAAUUCAAACAAAUAUUAUUCUUGAUACGGUUAGUUUAAUGUAUACCAACGGCUGAUAUAAACAAAAUUUACACUUUCAUUACUUUUAUCAGUAUUUACAUAGCUAGUCUAUAGUAUAGGUAUAUAUCUUGUACACACCCAAGCGUUCAACAGCACACUGGACGUAUCUCCAUCACAGAAGAGCUGAUAUCUCGGGAAUUGUGUAUUCAAUUAACAAAUUUCAACAGAAAAAUUACAUUGGAGAUACGGAUUCGAUAUACUUAACAAAGUCUGAUCCGUUCAAUAACACCUUAGAUUCUAAAGUCAAAAGAAUAAAAGACGAAGUUGUUAACUUAUGUGAGGAGCGCAGGUACUGACUUUGCCAAAGAACAUGACCCACGAACCAUGAAAAAUGGCCUAGCCUGGGAUAUUGAUAAUUUCUGUAUAUAAUAAUCUUCCGAAUCGGGAUAUAGGCUUUCUAGAAAUGUUUUUCUUUUUUUCAUAUAUUCUAUACUUUUUUGUUAAUAUGACGUUGAAUAUUGUGGUGUUUAAUGUUAAAAAAUUUACAUUUCGGGAUACACGUCACAACAAUAAACCUCCAAUGACCAUGUACAAUGUACAUGAACCUAUAAAUCUCUGAAUAUAUCAAGUUAUAUGCACUCAAAUAGCUAGAAUGGCUUAUUCAAUGAUCAUAAUAAGCAUUUUUGACCAAAUUUGGGAAAUCGAAAUAAGAAAUAUUUUGGAAAUGAUGUUCAACUUUACUUUUAAAUUAUUUUUACUUGAAUUUUAAAAUACUGAAAUAAGAAGAAUAAAUAUAGUAUGUAGUCUAUUUAGAUGGUGAAAGAAGUGUAUCAUUGGAACAAUUCUGUUUCAUGACACAUUCCAUAGUUUUUUAAUUUGGGGGGGGGGGGGGGUAUUAAAACGACCGAGUAUCGAUAUCAAUGGUAACGAAAUAAGUUGACACCGCGUCUCGUCAAAACACAUGUUCAAUUCGAAUUUACUCGGAAUUACACGUUCAACGAGCAUUUCCUGUGAAACCUGAUUAAAGGAAAAUUACUGUAGACACCUAAUAGUAAGUAUCAAAUGAUCUUUUUGUUACAUGUACAUGUAGAUUUCAUAGCGUGAAUAAUAACAACACAACACCGAUAUAGGGGAUCAGAGUCAGUAUAUUAUUGACUCUGAAAAUACGAUUUGAGAAAUGAUACUGUAUAAAUUUUACUGUAUUUAUCUUGGUCAAUAAUUGUAUAUUCCUAUACGUAUUAAUCAUGUAAAGAUACUGAGGUCUUUUAACCAACAAUUUUUUUUAAAUGUUUGUGCAAUGGUUAACGCUAUUUGGUACCGCUUGCAGGGCGGCGACCACGAGUUACCUGCCCCUAUACAAUGAGUUAAUUGCCCCUGUAUUUCAUCUGUUAAGUUGUACUUAAAAUAGGCUAACUCUUGCGCAAAAAAAGAUAGAAAAUAUCAAAUAUGGGAAAGCGGGACGAUAGACCAAACAUAUCUACGAAGAGACCAUUGGUGCCGGAAAUAUCUCUGUCUUUAGUAGUGUCCGCGAGGUAUAUUAAUUUAUAAAACAUGAGAUAUUAGUACCAUAUUGCCCGGGAAUCAAAAGAUUUUUGCAAGAUCGAUUCAAGAAACGGACUCUAUCUGGAAAAGGAAAACAAUAUCAAAGCUCCUCUGUGAGAAGUUGGCCAAGGAAAGCAUUCAGAAGAAAGUGGAGAUUCAUUGUUUUUACCAGAUCCAGUAGAUCACAGAAAGCAUCUAGUAGGGGAGGUCUACAGAUCGAAGCAUGCCAAAUGUGUCAAGAACAAGUUUCCAGGAUUAAGCCAGCCAGUAGAUGAGACUAUUAUAUCAAAAAUACAUUUACUUGUACACGAGGGCAGGACACAAAGCGUUGAUGAAACAAAAAGACAUUUCCGUCUGUUUGUAAAGGAUACUAUUUCACCAGGGAACACCAUCUCAGAAUUUAACAGAUGCUUUUACCCCACCAAUAAGGAUGUAAGAAAUCACAUUUACAGGGCACCGAGAUUUUGCCAGGUAGUUUAGAACUGUGUGCAUUGGUUUUGGAAGAAUUUGGGCUGUUUAGGCUAAAAUCCAUUAUGAUUGGACAGAAUAUGAACACACACAUCCAAUACUUCAAAGAUAUUAUGUUUGUGGAGGCAGAGAUUUUGAUUGCAUCCACUGUUUAGAAUACAUCCUUAAGGGAAGCAGACUGCCGCCUUUACCCAAUGAUAUAAUGAUUAAUCAUAACUAUAUCUGUUUUGUACCAAAUAGAAAGAGCAUUGAUUCAGGUCAUUUUCAAAUCCACUGGCAUACAUUGUACUAUACAUGCAACCUUUUCAAACUUUACAUUUAAGAUUUUAUAAAGGAAAUAUCUUAAUGUUUCACAUGUUUACCUUUCACUGUGCUAUGUAAUUCAUUAUACCUGCCAUUUUGCCAGUCUUCCUGAACAUAAUUUGUUUUCUGCAAUUUCAUUGGCCAAGAGGCUUAAUCCUGGGUUAUCAGAUUGAGCAUUUAUAUUUAGUAUCCCAUUGAUUUUGUCAGCCCUAUAUAAGGAGGUGACUCAGAUUUACUCACUCUGCUAGGUUAAAGAACUCUAAGGUUUGUACUUUUCACAUGAAUUUCGUGUUCGCCUCUUAUCUUUUACAUAGAGUAGGAAAUGAACAUAACAUUGAGUUAGGGAACAAUUUAGAUUUUACAUUAUAAUAUGUAAAUACCUUAGCAGAGUCAAUUUACUUGGUUCAGGGUAGUAUCAGAUAUUACUUUUUCAAAGUUUAAGUGUUUAGGCUAUCUCAAUGUUUCUAUAGUUAGCCUUGUCCUAUGUUACUUUUAGAUGUAUGGAAGCCUUUUAGUGUUAUAACACUAUAUUUAUGCCCCCAUUCAAAGAAGAGGGGCAUAUUGGUUUGCACCUGUUGGUCGGUCGGUAGACCACAUGUUGUCCGCUUAAUAUCUUAAGAACCAUUCACUUGAUCGUAAUAUAUUUCAUAUGUGGGUUGGUUAUGAAAAGAAGAGGACCCCAAUUGUUUUUCUGGUCGAAAUGUCAAGGGUCAAUCUACUCUGGACAUAGGAAGACACUGCCUGCUCAAUAUCUUGAGAACCCUUUGCUUGACAGACAUCAAACUUGGUACACUGGUACAUCUCAAGGAGUAGAUUUGAGGUCACAUGGUCAAAAGUCAAGGGGUAAACUGGACAUAGUAAUAUAUUGUCUCUUAUGUUUUAAGAAUUAUUUGCUUGAUUGACACCAAACCUGGUACAGCAUAAGGAGUAGAUGACCCCUAUUGAUUUUUAGGUCACUUGGUCAAUCCACUCCUGACACAGGAAGAUAUUGUUUGCUCAAUAUUUCGAAUUGAUGACACUACUAUCAAUCAAAUUAUGCAUGUGUAUAACCCUUUUCAAUUUUGCACCAUGGGGGCUUAUAUGUUUUACAAACACCUCAUGUUUUAUAGUUUGUGAAAGAUUGUUAGGGUCAUAACUUUAGAUUUUCUUAUUAUGGUACUUGCCCGUCAGAGACUGGACAUAUUAUGGUAUGGUGUUGUCUGUCCGGACCUUGUAAGAUGGGAUACAGACUGAACCGUAAGCUCCAGAAUCUUACAACUUGGUACAUUUGAUCACCAUAAAAGGAAGAUGCUUAUUGUUUUUUAAGGUCAAGGUUGUAGGUUCACUUAAUAGGAAAACCUUGUUUGAGAAAAUUACAGAUUCUUGAACUGAGUAUUUUGAGGAAACAUUACAUAGAAAGUACAUGAUUUGUCUAAUUUCUCCCAAUAUUCAACUGAGAACCUUAUUCUGCAGAGUAUUUGUAUUUGUAUGGGUAUGGAAAAUGUGUAUGUGGCUAUGAUUUUGAUUUUUGUUUAAUUUUUUUUUUUUUUUUUUUGAAAAUUACAGGUUUAACCGAGUCAGUUUUUGAGGAAAUAUAUAUGUAUUAAAUAAAUGACGGUUUGACCUUUUAACUCCUCUCACAGUUUUGAAACUAGGGUCUUUGUAAAUAACUUCUUUGGUGUUUUAGAAUAUUUACAGAUUGUUGAUCAUGGUAAAUUUUGGGGAAAUAUUUUCCGCAGAGCUCUAGUUGUCUAUCUACCGGCCUCCUGUCACUUUUAAGUUUAGGAGCUUUUAUUCAUGGAAAGAAAGUAUGUGACAGCCUGAUGAUGGCUGAUACUAUUUAAAGCCUUUUUAUACGCCCGUCUUAAGACGGGACGUAUUAUGGUAUGGCGUUCAUGUCCGUCCGUCUGUUAGCUUUUUCGUGUCCGACCCGUAACUUAAAUACUACAAGGCCUAGAAUCAUCAAACUUUGUCUGUAGAUGCAUCUUGGGUAGAAGGUGUGUCGCACAUUAAAACCAGGUCACUGUGACUUUUCAUUAAGAAGAUAUCCGUCUGUCCGUCCGUCUGUUAGCUUUUUCGUGUCUGACCCGUAACUUAAAUACUACAAGGCCUAGAAUCAUCAAACUUUGUCUGUAGAUACAUCUUGGGUAGAAGGUGUGUCGCACAUUAAAACCAGGUCACUGUGACUUUUCAUUAAGAAGAUAUGGCCAUAUAUGGCAAAAACUUGUCCGGCUCAUAACUUGAAAACUAUUAGGCCUAGAAUCACCAAAAUUGGUCAACUAAUGCAUCUUAGGUAGAAGGUGUGUCGCAUCCUACUUUAAGGUCACUGUGACAUUUAAUUAAGGUAAUAUAAAAAAAAUGUUUUAAUGGGUACAAUCUAUACUGUUAACAAUAUGUGACGGGCGUAUCAUGUGCCGUGGCGGUGCACUUUAUUCUAGAAAUGGCAUCAGAAAAACACCCUAUGUAACCUUUUCUGCUUAUACUCAUUUAUUUUUAUUGGAAAACUUAUUACUUGUUAUCAGCUACUCUAAAACAAUAUUGACUUGUGCUAUAAUAAAUUUGUAAACUUUA
Ostrea edulis (European flat oyster) is the source of this 6069-nucleotide long non-coding RNA. RefSeq lists it as uncharacterized. The record is from RefSeq and is a predicted model, not a curated record. The transcript is spliced from 6 exons. Lineage: Eukaryota; Metazoa; Mollusca; Bivalvia; Ostreida; Ostreidae.